Chelonoidis abingdonii (Abingdon island giant tortoise) is the source of this 161-nucleotide unclassified non-coding RNA. The record is from Ensembl. NCBI's taxonomy places the organism in Eukaryota, Metazoa, Chordata, Testudines, Testudinidae.
CUGAAAGCCCUGGAGACUGAACUCUCUUUAUCCACAGAAUAGAAGAGACAAAGAAAGCAGCAGUGCAAGCUUCCUGUAGCCACUGCCCCAACCCUGAUGUACAGAUCAACUGCAAGGGUGAGAUGGUAAAUCAUAUUGGCACUUAUCCACCAGGAACUAUA